Molecule: ribosomal RNA, 293 nt
Filed under: uncultured bacterium
Lineage: Bacteria
Description: partial 16S ribosomal RNA
Rfam family: Archaeal small subunit ribosomal RNA
Source: RNAcentral
GUGCCAGCCGCCGCGGUAAUACCGGCAGCUCAAGUGAUGUCCCAUAUUAUUGGGCCUAAAGCGUCCGUAGCUGGCCGACCAAGUCUCCCGGGAAAUCCACCCGCCCAACGGGUGGGCGUCCGGUAGAAACUGGCCGGCUUGGAACCGGAAGGCUCGAAGGGUACGGCCGGGGUAGGAGUGAAAUCCUGUAAUCCCGUCCGGACCACCGAUGGCGAAAGCACUUCGAGAAAACGGAUCCGACAGUGAGGGACGAAAGCUAAGAUCGCGAACCGGAUUAGAUACCCUAGUAGUCC